GAUGAACGCUGGCUACAGGCUUAACACAUGCAAGUCGAGGGGAAACGACGGGGAAGCUUGCUUCCCCGGGCGUCGACCGGCGCACGGGUGAGUAACGCGUAUCCAACCUGCCUCUGACUGAGGGAUAACCCGUCGAAAGUCGGCCUAAUACCUCAUGGCAUCGUCUGCGGGCAUCCAACGACGAUUAAAGAUUUCAUCGGUCAGGGAUGGGGAUGCGUCUGAUUAGCUUGUUGGCGGGGUAACGGCCCACCAAGGCUACGAUCAGUAGGGGUUCUGAGAGGAAGGUCCCCCACAUUGGAACUGAGACACGGUCCAAACUCCUACGGGAGGCAGCAGUGAGGAAUAUUGGUCAAUGGGCGGGAGCCUGAACCAGCCAAGUAGCGUGCAGGAUGACGGCCCUAUGGGUUGUAAGCUGCUUUUAUGCGGGGAUAAAGUGAGGGACGUGUCCUUCAUUGCAGGUACCGCAUGAAUAAGGACCGGCUAAUUCCGUG
RNAcentral lists this ribosomal RNA (491 nucleotides) under uncultured bacterium. RNAcentral's name for it is "partial 16S ribosomal RNA". It matches the Rfam family "Bacterial small subunit ribosomal RNA", at positions 28 to 507 of the family's 1533-position model. The record is from RNAcentral.